This 880-nucleotide long non-coding RNA is filed under the name Ananas comosus (pineapple). RNAcentral describes it as "long non-coding RNA (ACOM_LNC028932)". The record is from RNAcentral. Lineage: Eukaryota; Viridiplantae; Streptophyta; Magnoliopsida; Poales; Bromeliaceae.
GAUGCACUUGUCAACCAUUCAUAGCCAAAUAAAGUAUUUAUAGUUAUUGUAUUUUUCACUAUAUCUAACCAAACAAAAUGUAUAUAAUUAUAACUACUGCAUUUAUAAUUGCAUGCAUCUAAAACUAUGCUGCAUUUACAAUUACAUCCUACCAAACAACCCCUUAAAAAGUACCGAGAUCUCUAUAUUUUUAAGUUAUUUUUAAUAAUAGGAUAUCUGAAUCAAUGAUCGGUUUCAUUAGACGCGAAUUACUAUUGAAAGUAUUUAAAAAUUAAAUUCUAUAUAUAUAUUUUUGACAUCAUUUGUGUUACGGCAAACGCACAAAUGGAAAUGAAAUGGCGAACACGAAAUAAACAAACCACAAGCAGAAAUAAAAGAAAACAUAUAGAUUUACGUGAAAAAUUCUUUGCAAGAAAAAAUCAUGGGCGAGGGAGGAAAGAACUUCACUAUCAAACGAAAAAGAAAAUACAAUGUUCAGAUAGUACAACCGAUCACAAUCACACGCCUCUAGGACAAAAACGAAAGGAAAACUUUUAACGGGUUUCGGAUCCGAUCCGUACUACAGACAUUUAUUUUUCCUUCAUAAAUUUAUUUUCCAAUUUGAUCACACCGCGAAGCUGUCGGCUAGUUGAAAAUCCGAACUUGAGUCGAUUAUCAAUUUCGAGUCACAUCUAACAAUUUGUCUAAUAAAUAAACAGCCUCAAAAUAAACGAUUAAAUAUAAAAAUCUUAUAAUAAUAAAAGACUUAAUUUUAUAUCAGAGAUACAAAACACAUUAAUUCUAGAUAGUGUUGAGAAUUUUCUAUCAAAUUAUUACUAAAUUUGAAUUAUUUUAUAUCAUUAAAUUUAUAAACGUGUCGCAUUAGCCACUAAACUUUAUA